CCUACGGGCGGCAGCAGUGGGGAAUAUUGGACGAUGGGGGGAACCCUGAUCCAGCCAUGCCGCGUGUGUGAAGAAGGCCCUCGGGUUGUAAAGCACUUUCAGUGAGGAAGAACGCCUGGUGGUUAAUACCCAUCAGGAAAGACAUCACUCACAGAAGAAGCACCGGCUAACUCCGUGCCAGCAGCCGCGGUAAUACGGAGGGUGCGAGCGUUAAUCGGAAUUACUGGGCGUAAAGCGCGCGUAGGUGGCUUGAUAAGCCGGUUGUGAAAGCCCCGGGCUCAACCUGGGAACGGCAUCCGGAACUGUCAAGCUAGAGUGCAGGAGAGGAAGGUAGAAUUCCCGGUGUAGCGGUGAAAUGCGUAGAGAUCGGGAGGAAUACCAGUGGCGAAGGCGGCCUUCUGGAAUGACACUGACACUGAGGUGCGAAAGCGUGGGUAGCAAACAGGAUUAGAUACCCCGGUAGUC
RNAcentral lists this ribosomal RNA (465 nucleotides) under Vreelandella stevensii. RNAcentral describes it as "partial 16S ribosomal RNA". It matches the Rfam family "Bacterial small subunit ribosomal RNA", at positions 338 to 795 of the family's 1533-position model. Lineage: Bacteria; Pseudomonadati; Pseudomonadota; Gammaproteobacteria; Oceanospirillales; Halomonadaceae. The record is from RNAcentral.